UACAGAGGGGGCAAGCGUUAUUCGGAAUUAUUGGGCGUAAAGGGCGCGUAGGCGGCAUGGCAAGUGGAUGGUGAAAUCCCUCGGCUUAACCGAGGAACUGCCGUCCAAACUGCUUCGCUUGAGACCGGGAGAGGUGAGUGGAAUUCCCAGUGUAGCGGUGAAAUGCGUAGAUAUUGGGAGGAACACCAGUGGCGAAGGCGGCUCACUGGACCGGUACUGACGCUGAGGUGCGAAAGCGUGGGGAGCAAACAGG
This 253-nucleotide ribosomal RNA is filed under the name uncultured bacterium. RNAcentral describes it as "partial 16S ribosomal RNA". It matches the Rfam family "Bacterial small subunit ribosomal RNA", at positions 524 to 776 of the family's 1533-position model. The record is from RNAcentral.